CUUUCUAUGUGCGCGCUGGUGUGCAAGAUCAGGUUAUUGCUCUUCAGUAUGUGCCUUCCGAGUUACGGUUGGCGGAUUUCCUGACGAAGGCCCAAUCUAGAGCACAACAUGGCUUUUAUCUCUUCAAACUCAGUGUUGUUCAUCCACCAUGAGUUUGAGGAGGGGUGUUAGAGUUAUAAUAUAAGUCAUGUACCCCUUUGUAUUUAUCCCGUUGUAUAAGGGGUUUCCUGCAUAUAGUCCACCACAUGCACAUGUAUAUAUAUCGGCCUAUGGCCUCAUGGGAAUACAAGUUGCUUUUCCUAAUAGACCUAAGCUAGUCAGGUAAGAUUAGUUAGCCUAAUCCAGUUUCCUACUUAGGCCUUUAAAUUAUUUCUGUCAAGGGAAGCAUGUUCAGUUGCCUCUUAUUUUUCUUCCUCUUAGCUUCAUAUCAGUCGGCGCUUUUCCAUCACCAGUGAACAUUAAAAAUGAAUGCAAUUGCAUGAUCACACGGGAGUAUAAUUAAGUAGCAGCAGCAUAUACGAUCUGUAAUAAUGCAAAGCAUAGCCAGACAACCAUUCGAUGCUGAUUACAAUCAAAGCUGCAACAAAAGGUCAAUGAAAAUUGUUAAUCUGACAAAAGAGUGAAAGCAUCAUUAAUACUGGAAGAAAACUAAAUAUUACUCCCUCCGAUCUAAAAUAAGUGUGGCAGUUUUGAACUAACCCCAGCUCAAAACUGCGACACUUAUUUUGGAUUGGAGGUAGUAGAAAGAAAAUAUUUUCUAUAAAAAGUAGAAGGAACAUGUCACCUGCAGCUCAUACAAAAUUAGCAACAUCCAAAGACAAUCAACUAUAAUUCAAACUAAUUAUUUGCUCCCAGCCACCAACAAAGGCAAAUGAACUGGGAGCACAAAGGGGUAAACCAUAGCUGUCAUACAACCCAAGCAACUAAGGAAGUACAGGACAAAGUUCUUCCAAGCCCAAGCAAGUAAAAAGGAGGCAAUUUAUCCAUGAAUUCAGACCAAGACAAAAGGAGAAUAAAAGGUUCCAAACAGAGCAUAUAGGCAAACAAAGCACACAGGCCAAGACCCAAACAUCAGAAAAACAAAAUUGGCGGCGCAUUGGAAAUUGCUAUUAACCAAAACUUUUAUAUUAUUGAUUCUCAGGGAAGUCCAUCCUACUGUAAGCCUAAAUUCUGUAAUGCAUGAGCUACCCCAAUGGACUCAGAUAAAUCAAGGAUGGAGUGAUAAAAGGCCUGAAGGAAAUGGACCAUAUUAAAAUUCAUAGCUCUGGUAAAAGGAUGCCCAUCCCACACAGCAGGUCAGUAGCCAAGCAAGCUCAUAAAGUCAUAAUUCAAAUGAUAAAUUCAGAGAUGCCACUUGCCAUCAUUCAGUAUGGCUAUGAUGAGAACCAUGAAUAAUGCCAGAAGAACAAACCUGCAACCAUAAAAGACAGCAAGAUUAUGGAUGGUGAAAUACUGUCACCAUUACCUACUAUUGGAUUUGCUGCUGCAUUCUUGCCACUAUCCGUAUGGUGAUGCAAACCGCAUAAAUUUGCAGACAAGUAGUACAAAUCGUCAGAACUCUUGUAGUAGAAGAAAACAAAGGAACUUCAGCUGAACUUUAC
This 1601-nucleotide long non-coding RNA is filed under the name Hordeum vulgare. Its description in RNAcentral is "long non-coding RNA (HVUL_LNC001245)". Lineage: Eukaryota; Viridiplantae; Streptophyta; Magnoliopsida; Poales; Poaceae. The record is from RNAcentral.